This 253-nucleotide ribosomal RNA is filed under the name uncultured bacterium. RNAcentral describes it as "partial 16S ribosomal RNA". It matches the Rfam family "Bacterial small subunit ribosomal RNA", at positions 524 to 776 of the family's 1533-position model. The record is from RNAcentral.
UACGGAGGGUGCGAGCGUUAAUCGGAAUUACUGGGCGUAAAGCGCACGUAGGCGGCGUUAUAAGUGGGAUGUGAAACCCCCGGGCUUAACCUGGGACUUGCAUACCAGACUGUAAGGCUAGAGUAUGAGAGAGGGUGGUGGAAUUUCCGGUGUAGCGGUGAAAUGCGUAGAGAUCGGAAGGAACAUCAGUGGCGAAGGCGGCCACCUGGCUUAAUACUGACGCUGAGGAGCGAAAGCGUGGGGAUCAAACAGG